AGGCUUUGGAAGGCUGCACACUUUCUGUGGAGGUCCUGACCUGUGGGCCGGCUGCCUUAGGAGAUAAGGAGGGAAGAAGCAUCUGGAAAUGAGAACAUGGAGGUGGUUCAGCUCCAGCAGAGGCUUCACAGUUCUCUGUGACAGCAGAAAGAAGAUGGGCUGAAAUGGUGGUUUAUUUCCUAGCCACAAGUAAGAAAAUUCUGGUGUGGGAUCUAUUGUGGGUCAAGGUUUGCACUCUGGACUUGCUGCUGGAUUAUUGCAGGUAGAUCUCUGUGUCCACAUGGUCCUCAGGAGAAUCGGAUAGCUCCGUGUUGGCUCAAAGAAUGUCACUUCAGCUGGAUUUAGUGCAACACCCUGAGGGUGUUGAUGGCCAAUAUUUGCAGGUGUGGCAAAGUCUAGGCAUAGCAGGCUGGACAGAAGAAGGUAGGGGAGAGAAAAGGCCCAAGUGUGUGUCUCCAUACAGUGCAGGGUAUGCCCAGCCCAAACCAUGUGUCUCAUGUGCCUGUGGAGCAACGUCCCAGCUGAUCCUGAGCUGCCAAGUCAUCUGUGAAAACCUUCCCAGGCAAGACCCCUGCCAUAGCCACCAGGUUUCAUAAACAGCCUGAGAUCGGGGUACAGCUUGCAGAGCUGGCCCCCUGGUGUCAGAUACCCUGCAGAGUGUCUGAGUGGAGACGGUUCGGGGGAACACUCCUCGAGUGCGAGGUGACACAGCCCAAGCAGCCAUAAAAAGGAGAGAAAGUGGAAGCUGUGAUGCUCUGUGCAUUUUAGUGACACAGUUAUGAACCUGCUUUAUGGCUGUUGAGUCCUUGGUCUCACUGACACCGCCAAAGUCCAUGUUUCGUUGUGGGCAUUUAGUGUUGUGUUUGAUGCUGCCAUAGGAAUCGGUGUCCUACCUCGUUGCAUCUCCAUUCAUGUAUGACUUCUUUCUGCAGAAGCUAAAGUCUGCAGAUUCCCAGCUAAAAGCCAAGGAGUUUGCAGUACCUCAAGAGCAGCGGUUGAUGAACUACUGGGACAAUGUGGUCGGAGAGGGAAGAGAGGUCAUCCCAGGACCGUGCAGUAAAGUGAACAGGCUUUCUGAUGACAUGCCAGAGAAGAAGCAGAAAGAAAGCUAUCUACCAAAAUCCUACCCUGCAACUGAAGCAACAGCAACCCAGGAGGAGAAGCUGGAGAGGCCACAGGCUCUUACUAAGCUAGAAAAUGAGCUUUCCUGUUCCCAUUGUCUUCCAGCUGCUGUUCAGACUCCUGGAACAGAAGGGAUGUUGCUGCACAAGCAGGAGCUGGAUCGGGGCUGGGCUGCCUACCAGCAAUUCAUCUUGGAGACAUGUCGGGCAAGGCAAUUUAAAGCUCAAGAAAACAAGAGCAUGGUCUUGGGCUCAUCUGUUUUGGGGGAAGAAUGUUUUGACCUUGACUGCAGAACUACCUACAACACAGAUUUCCAGCCCUUGCCUGGAGCCCAUGGUGGACACUGUAAAGCAAAUAGGACUCUCUCUCACAUUUUUGCUGAAGAUGAGUGCUUUAACCAGAACUACUGGGUAUCAGAGUACGAGGACAGCUACAGUGUUUUCUUACGGAGGCUGAACCGGUCAUCUCAAAUCCCCACUGCAGGGCUGUGUUCAGCCGUAAAGCCCAUCUCACAUCUACCCCACAGGCUGUCCUCUCAGAAAGCGAUUGCUGUGGACACAGCCCAGUGAGAGGUGCUACAGCUGUCCAUGGAUGUGUUACCUACACUAUUCUGUGAUUACAGCUCUGUGGCUCUCCAAGUUGUCUGUGUGAUAUUGUCUGUGGGAGACCCUGGAAGCCUGGAAGCACUUUAUCUUCCCAACCUACCAUUGUGGCUAUAGAGUAUUUGUGAAGUGCUUAGCAGAGACCCCUUUACACACAUAUUUUCAUUAAAUCCCCCAAGAACUCUGGCUCUUAUCAGUGUCAGGAAAACACUCUUGUGCAGGGCAAUCCUUGGAGCUAAAAUCACUCAGGCAGUUUCAAUUCAUGUACUCUAAAUAAAACUUGCCAAUAAACUUCA
This 2020-nucleotide long non-coding RNA is filed under the name Struthio camelus australis. Its description in RNAcentral is "lncRNA (ENSSCUG00000015341.1)". Lineage: Eukaryota; Metazoa; Chordata; Aves; Struthioniformes; Struthionidae. The record is from RNAcentral.